This 436-nucleotide ribosomal RNA is filed under the name Laubierpholoe sp. B BCG-2017. RNAcentral describes it as "partial 16S ribosomal RNA". It matches the Rfam family "Bacterial large subunit ribosomal RNA", at positions 1832 to 2586 of the family's 2925-position model. Lineage: Eukaryota; Metazoa; Annelida; Polychaeta; Phyllodocida; Pholoidae. The record is from RNAcentral.
UUUAAGGACACCUAUUUAAAAUAAUUUCUGCCCAAUGAAGCACUUAAAUGGCCGCGUUAAUACGUGCUAAGGUAGCAUAAUAAUUUGCCUUUUAAUUGUUGGCUGGCAUGAAAGAAAACACUUAUAGAAAAUUUAUUUAACUAAUACCUAUAAGUUGGCUUGAAGGUGAAGAGACCUUCAUCGUAUUAAAAGACAAAAAGACCCUAAGAGUUUUACUUUACAAGUUUGGUUGGGGAAACCAAGAAAUAUUUAAAACUUUCUUAAAUACAUAUGAUAUAUAUCUAUAAUUAUACCCUUUAUGAAUCUUUUAAAACUACCUUAGGGAUAACAGAUUAAUCUACUUUGUGAGUUCAUAUUAAUAAGUAGGGUUAAUACCUCGAUGUUGGCUUGGAAAAUAAGUUAAAUGCAAGAAUUUAACCUUAAUAGUUGUCAACUA